AUGGGGAGAAACAGAGCAACAACUAUGCAUUCAUUUUUCAAAAUAAAAAGAGAUGACACAUCUGUUGAAGUUGAAGGUCUUUUGCCUCUUGAAUCUCUACCAUUGGCAUUGCUUGAACACGAGUAUCAUACUGAGAAUGAAGAACAACAUCAAACUGAAAAUGAAGAAGCAGAACAGCUGAGUGAAAAUGAUGAACGACAAACAAAUGAGCCUAUCAUAUUUCGAGGUGUCGAGUUCUUGCAGAGAGAUCCUGCAUUGCGACCACAAAUUUGGCAAUAUCCACCUAAUGUGAGAGAUGAAGUGCGAAGAGCAUACAUGCAACUAGGUCCUAUGCAGCCAAAACUGAAUGAGUACAAACCUUCUGGAAAACCUGGGCAUCAACGGCGUUUCCAAUUCAGUUGGUUCAAGGAUUUUCCAUCAUGGUUAGAAUAUUCUACUCGUGCUUAUUGUUUUUACUGCUUCCUAGGCAACAAAAACAUCAAGAAACGAAGUGGUUUUGAUGUGUUUUCUGCUCAUGGCUUUGACCAUUGGAAAAAAGUUUAA
RNAcentral lists this ribosomal RNA (543 nucleotides) under Triticum aestivum (bread wheat). RNAcentral's name for it is "partial small subunit ribosomal RNA". Lineage: Eukaryota; Viridiplantae; Streptophyta; Magnoliopsida; Poales; Poaceae. The record is from RNAcentral.